UUUGGUUCUAGUACAUACUGCAAGCAUUCUAGCAAGCUGGUUUCUACUUUCCAUGCAUGAAUUUCAUAAGAUAAUGCUUAGAGUAGAUUGUAAGCAGAACUAAACCUGUAAUUUACAAUAGUAAACAAGAACUAAAAAGCAGAGUUCAUUCAACUAUUGUUAGAAACCCAAAUAACCUUGCUUUUGAUUGUUUACAGCAGAAAUGAAGACGGCAUCUGUUACCCUAUUUAUGCAAUAGCAUUCACAUAAAGAUUUUACACAUUCAUUUUUAACAAAUAAGAGGUAUAGUAAGAGGAGAUACAGGCAGGCUGAUGCUAUGUUUGUAUCACUUUAUAAAUUAAUUCUUCAUGAUACAUAAGGUUAUUUGAAGGAUAGCAAAAAAAUAAUAAACAACAUGGAAAAAACCCCUGUUUCCUCUCUGAAACAUUUACUUCUAUUUUCAUAACAGUGUUUAAACCAUACUAAGCACCCCAAAAUGAAUGGUCUUGCUACGUCUCUGGGAUCUCCUUGGCAAAGCCAAUAGGAGAGUUAAUCUGCAUGUUAGUGGUGCUGUUCAGAAAGUUGAUUUCUACAAUAUUUUAGUGCUGUUUAACAACAGCGUUAUUAAGAAAGAAAUAGAGCCGAGUUGCAACAGCAUCCUUAUUUUUCACUUUUUUAAAAAAAGCAUUUAAGUAUAACUGGUCUUAUUUAUUUAAGAUUAACAUUUAUGGUAUCUAUAACACACUGGUGCACAUAACAUGAUUUGAGCAGGUCUUGCAUGAAUUUUUCUGUAGCUUCACCUUUUGGUCUUUCUGCUUCCAAGUUCAGUAAUAACAGAAGACUGUGAGAGCCCUCUCCUGGUGAACAAAAUUUAUCUCCCUCCAGCUGUUGCUUGCCAACCAGAGAUUCUGAGACAGAUAUUCCAGCUGUAAAAGAAGAUAGUGCUUAGAAUGUACUCUCAUGGUUUUUUAAUUUAUUAAUACUUAAGUGUAAAAAGUCACAAAACAAAGGCUUUAUUUUCCAAAUACCACCUUACAAAGUGAAGCAGAAAGUCAAGGAAAAUACUUCUCAAAAACCUGCUAUCUGCAAAGAAAUACUAGCUUCAAUAUACUUUCACACCAGUACAUAUUUUGCAUGGUUAAGAUUGACAUCCAUCUGGAAUGCUUUAAAUAAAGCUACUUUAAAGACUUGUUCAUUAGUGAUAGGUAUUGAGAAGGUUGUACACACGGAGUCACUCCCCAGAUGAGGAAUGAAUGAGCGAGCAAAGUCUGAAAACCCCAUGGCAUCUAAAAGGAGCCCUGGGAUCCUCUGAGAUGGGCAGUGGAGAGGAAGGCUCUAGGCAGGAGCACCUUUUUUUUCUCCUGUGUAACCAAUCAGAGAUGGCCUGUGCUGGGUUCACAAGUUAUUCUUUCAUGCUACCAAAACUGAAUCAUUUUCUAGGCAUUCCCCUUCUCUUAUCACACUUAUGAGGUAGCCUGCCCAUAUUAUUCAGAAAGGGGACGAGCAUAUAUUAUACAUAAUAUCCUGUCAUGCACUUUUCCCUGUCUAUAGUUGCUGUUAUUAAAUUUUUCACUUUCCUUAAUACCUAUACAUGUAACAUGAUUUUGGCUUAUUCUCCUGCUGUGCCCUCCCCUUUCUCUGUAGCAAGCACUUAAUUUAGGUUGAAACACUGUCUCUUUCACUUGCAUAUGUUCUCCUCCUUAUCUACUUAGUUUGAUUUACUGUAUGAAUUUUAAGGACACUGUGUCUCUCUAUUCCAUCACUUUUGAGGUCUGAAAAGAAUUUUAAGUUCAAAAAAUCUUAAGUUCAAAUCAGACUAAGUCAAUGAACUACCAGACAUGCUUGAGUCCAGCUUACUAUCUAGAAAGCACCUCAGUUCAGAGGCACUGGCAGUUUAAGUAAUGUCAACAAAAUAAGAAUGCAUACAUGCUUAAAGCAAAGUUCCUAGUUUGAGAGCUUCAGAAUACACAGAGGCAACCAAGAGCCUUCCAUUGCUGUGGGAGCGAAGCAUUAGAGCAGUGAUCACACCCCCACGUCUCAGGGAGCAGAAGACUCCACACAGCAGUUUCACAAGUGUUUUUCUGGGGAGCAACGAUGGCCCAGGCAGCCUAAAAUGAACUCACUGAUAAUUUGCAUCAGUCAUCUCAGCUGAAAGCUGAGCUUUAUCCAGGCUGAAAGCAACCCAGAGAGGUUUAUGGGCCUGUUUUUCUGUGCACUAGCAUAAAAUGUGUUGCCUUAUCUGAAGAGUUUGCAUGGAGAUGGCAGAGGUUGGCUGUGUAGCAACUGCUAGUGGAAGAAAUGUUCAGAAAACAAGGAGUUUAAUAUACGUACUUUGCUCUUAAUGUUGACACAUGGUUGGUUAAGGUGUGGUGCGUAGUCAGUGUAGCGAACCAGAAAAGCUAUAUACAAAUGAAACUAUUACACACUGGAUAACUUUUAUGAUAGGCAAUUUUCAAUCAGUUAUAAAAACAAGUGUUUCACAAUGUAAAUUUUUCUGCUUGAAAAGAGAAGUUCUAAUUUUUAGCUAGCACACGGUUGUUCUCCUCAGCAAGAAGGAGGACACGAGCAGUGAGUUAUUAUGUUGAAGAACCUUCCAUGACUUCAGAGACAAGCACUCCCAGCUCAGCUUGAACUAUCACUGCUAUCUCUUGUAGAGCUCAAAGAAGCUGAAAUACAGUAAGGCCUCAUUAUUAAAAAGGAAAUGCAUUUAUAUAAAUAUGUAUCUUAGAUUCCCAUUUCAGAUGAUCUAAUACAAGAUCUCAUCUCCUCCGUUUCUUUUAGAGCAGCAAAGCACAUUAACCCUGCUAUUUCUAGCUUCAGCUAUAAGCUAGAAUCCAGUAUAGCCACAAGACAUAGGCGUCAACUGGGAGAAGUAAUGUUUGGAGGCAGAGUAGUGCUGGCCACUUUGAUCCCUAGGCUGCUACAGCUGAAAUGUGCUGUAAAGAUUCAAAGUGACAACUGGGAAAACACUUUUAUAUGAAACAGACUUCAAGAUGACGUUUUUCGUUUCAUUCUUCACUGCCUUUUUUUUUUUCCUACCCUAGUCUUUUUCUUAAAUAAAUAUAUUUUGUCUUUGAAAUCAUGUGUUAUUAAGGGUAAGCUCAAAUGACACCAGCAGGUAGAGGGCUCAUUGCUAGUCUGGAUCUGAAUAAUUGCAGUGAAAUGCUGUACAAAGCAAAUCACCUCAGAGCAUUUGUAUUCUGAGGUGGAAACUGGGACAUGUAUCCUGCAAAGCUAAAAAGAUCAGUGUGACGACUCGUAUCACUCAGAGAACUCAAGAACUUUCUCUCAGCCAUUGACCAGCCUUGCUGUAUCAAAAAAGACAGAUUGCUGAUAAUACUGAAUAAUUCCCAAAUUAUCAAAGGAGCCCUAAGGACCCUAAAUUAACAUGCCUAAGUUGGGGCAAGUUUUCAGAAGGGAUAAAUGCUCUGCAGACAACAGUGUAAUCAGGGACAGGAGAAACCAUAGAAAAACCUCAAAGAGAGAACAUGUUUCUUGUUGACCUCCAUUCAGGAGUUGUGAGGAAAGAGGAGGGUUCUGCUGGCUGCCUCUUGCUUUCUGGAGCUAUGCUUACAGUCUCGACUCACAUGCUUCACAGGCAGGUAAAGCAGGGUGCACAUGUUAACUUCCAUUUUUUUCCACUUUUGUGAGGCCCUCAAGAAAUGAAGUACAGCUGUAGACGUUUUGUCCCUGUUUCUCUCUGUUGCUGUACUACAUCUAAGGAGAAAUACCUGAGAGUACUUCCCAGGUCUGAACUCACCUUCUUGUCAUGUCCCCAUGCCAGACCACAAGAGCAAGGCCCACAGGGUGAUACAGAAUAACAGGAGAAAAAGACACAAGAUAUGACUGCUCAGAUACCUUAUAUACCAUUUCUAAGUUCAGCCAAGAAAUCUAGUUUCAACCCAGUUCAUUUUAUCUAGUAAAAUUAUUUUGGGGUAAAUCAGUGGAAGCACCAGCUCACCUAGGUAGCAGGUAAAAAAAAAAGAAAAAAAAAAAAGAAAAACAAGUUACUUAGUGCCUUCUCUAAUUCAAUAAACUCAAAGUUGUGUGUCUCAUUCAGUAAACUAAUGAGGUGUGUUAUUUCAGAAGGGAUUAUAUGAGAUUACUAUUUUUAAUCUAUUAAAAUGUGGCAAAUAAUGUGCCAUGCAGUCCUUUAAAUUAAUGGUAUGCUUUCAUCUGCAGUCACAUGUAUCAUGCUGAUCAUCUGUAUUUAUAUAGAGCAGAAGAGAAGAUGAUCUCUAGCUGAUAAAUACAUUACUAGCAGAAAAAAGUUAAGUUGGUAACCUUCAUAAAAAGACAGUUUUAAUGAAAAGUUAGUAGAAACUCCUAGUUAUCCCUUUGAAUGAUACCUACAGAAAUGGGCUCUCACACAAACAGAAACUGCAGACUGUAAAGGGACACUAUUAAUACAAUGCAUAAUUAAUCUGUAAAUUUAUUAUCAAAAGUAUUGCAAAGGUCAAAAUCUUUGUGAACUGCAUCACUUAAUGACAACACAACAGCAUUUUUACACAAACAUAUUUUUACACCUGCUAAGUGAUAGAAGUCCUUAAUCAUAAGAUCACAGGCUCAGUUGUAAAUUAGUUGUAAAAAAAACAAUACAUGAAUAAAAUAUUCUCUGACUGACACUUGGAGGUUCUAAGCUACACCAAUCCCUGGUCUGAUCCACUUAUAAAUUACUACUAAAUUUCACCUGAAAAAGUUGAAGUUUUAAGACAACACAUAUUAAAAAAAACCCCCACCAUAUCUAAUACUUUCUGAUACAAUGUUUAUACAAAGCUAAUGGCAAACGAUCAAAAGAAAAAUGAUGAUAAUGAGUUAUUUCUGUGUGCCUUUACCAGUUCAGUUUCUCCGAACCAAUUAACUUAAGAUACCAAUUAGGCAGAUACUGUCAUAAUAAAACAGCUAUGCUGCUCAUGGUACCUGCCUAACGAGGUCUGCCCAGGGAUUUAAAAUUUAACUCACUAAAAUAAUUCUUCUUCUAGAGUAAAAUAAGGCACAAAAGUACAUCACUAACAGCAUCUUUUUCUUGUAGAAACCAGUAUAACUGGAUGCCAGUGCAAGAACUGGCAAAAGGAAUGUAUAAAAAAUUCUCAUUUCCAUCAUCAAUCUAUUUCUGAAUUCGAUUGAGGUAUUGCCCUUCUAAUAUAAAACAUUUGAAGUUUAAUGCCCAGUAAUUCUAUUUUAGGAAGCAUUAGGCACUGUAACCCAGACUUUCAAAUAUGGAGAACAUCAUUAGAUCCCUUGGAUAUUUUUGAAGAAGUGUUAGGUCUGUUACUACCACUAAAAUUUUUAAAAAACCUAAAGUUACAUGGAAGUGGAGAAGAAAAAAAAAUCGUUAUCAAAGAUCCUGCUAAAACAUAUUUUUGACAUUGUGCACAACAGCAAGCGUGUAUGAGACAAGACAGCUCAAUGUUCCCACAAAAUUGCUUCAUUACAGAAGAAAAACAGCACAAACAAAAAAGAAAACAGUUUUCCAAAGACUGAGCCUCUUGCAGUAGAUGAUGUUUUUCUUUAUAGCAAGACCUUCACUUCUUAGUGGACAGGCAUUUCAUACUGGUUCUUCCAACUAUAGUACCCCAGUGAGAAGCAUCAAGUAAUACCAGAGAGCUUCAUCUUGUCUUCCCACUCCUGUCAGUGAGAUGUACCUGCCUGGUUAGCAAUGCAUCUGUGUAACUGAACUGCUCAACAGAGCGUCAAGAAGCAAGCUGAGGCAAGUCAUAGUGGGCAUGGAAAUGCCUUUUCAUUUAAAAUUUAUUGUGACAGGUACUCCUUAGUGAUUCAAGGAAGCCAUAAAUCUCUCCUGCCUCCUGGCACUCACCAGUAUGCUGCAACACCAACCUUGGCCCAGCUGCCCAGCUUGUUCUCUCCUUCUUACAUCUCUGUGAGCAUUCAGGUUACAUAUGGCAAUGCUACCUCCCUCUCAUGUUCCUAGUUAUGCCAGUACUCAUUUUAAAAACCCAUUUUAUUUUGGACUUGCAGAUUUCCCCUCUACCACCUCUGAAAAGGAUUUUUGCCAUACUCUAAAGCUGUUUAAAAUCUGCUUGUUUUAAGUUCACAAGAAUUGCAACCCUAAAAUGUGACCCACAGCAUCAAUUAAAGCUUUUCUUUAAAAGUGCCUACUUUUGCCAUGUCCUUAGGUAACCAUUCUUAAUUUUUUUCUGUUGCAAUAGUGGAUGGCAAUAGCUCUGGAUAAAUGGGUUAUUUGAAGUGUCAGAUGAACUGAAAGAACAAUUUCAUAGUGAAAGCAGCAAAUGCCCACAAAGUAGAAAACUGCUUUUCAUUACAUCAGACUUUUACAAACUAAAACAACUCUUCUUGAUAGAAACUGUCACAUUGAGGAAUAGAGUUUCUUUGGAAAGUCUGAAAAAGAAAACUUUGUGAUCUAUCAAAGAUGGUAAAACCAACACCUUUCCAAAUAUCCUUAUUUUUGCACUAUAAAUUUUUGAAAGAGGGCAAAAUAUGCAAAAUCAAAAAAUUACUAGGCAAUUAUUGAACUUGCGUAACAUUGUGUGAAACAUUAUGAAAAUUUUUUUCUAAGAGGAUCAUUUUAUGUUUUCUCUCUCUUUAGAGGUAAACACCUGAAAUAUUUUUAUGCUCAUUAUUAUCGGCAGAAAUUAUGCUGAUAAGUUGUUUCAACAGGAUUUUAUUUAACAGAUGCAACAAAAUUGGACCAAAUUCCCCUGCCAAAUAGGGAAAAAAUUCUCUUUCAAGUUAGUUAGCCUGGGUUUUUAAAGGGUAUUCCUCUGUCAUAAAAAAGAACUUUUGUCUAUCUCCUUCUAACAGUCGGCCUGGAGAAAAGUCACCUCCCUGCUUUCUAAGAAACCUGGUUCUCAUGACCUGAGAAAAUGCUACUCCCAACCAUCUUCUAGAGAAAUCAUCAAACCAAGAACUUCGGGGUUCCUGGCCUGGCCAUGCAGAUUACAAUUGAUAUAAUGUGGAAUUCAAUACAGAUGUGAAUACUCCUGAGCUUGCAACCUGGAAGGCCAUCUAGACAGAAAAAAACCCAACCAACAAACCACCAACCUCACAGGCACCUGACAACACAAUAUGCCUGCUAGAAGAUCUGAAGAAAACCUCCUGAGACCUGAUGGAAUCCCAGAUAAGAUUAAAUUUCUGGAGUCAGCUCAUCUAAAAUAUUAUACAAUAUGUUCAUGUAAUAGCCUCAACUGCUGCAGCUACAGGGCCUGAAGAUUGAAAAGGACAAGAAGAAAAGAAACCACUCAAACCAGACAGAUAGAUUAAGUAAUUAUAUACUGUCACUCAAAUUCUAAUGAAAGCAUUGAGAUUUCAAUCUUUUCACGUUUUUCUGCUUCACACAGAAAUACUAUUUUUUUAGGCUAACUCAGUAACCAUCUUCUGUAUUGUCAGAGAAUUUUAUCCUUGUUUUUCUAUUCUCAGUGUAUGUAUAGUGAAAAUAUCCUGAUAUAUCAAGGAUGGGCCUGAUACAUUUAUUGGAGAGUAGAUUCAUUCACUAUCAAAGAAAAAAGUCACAACAAAGUCUCACGAGAAUAAAAUCGUGAAUUUUGGUUGUAACUUCACAAAUGAGAAUGAAUGGUUAUAAGGAGGAAUUCUUCAAAUGGAUGCCCAGACAGGCUACACAGAAGUCUAAGCAGAGGCAGAAGUGUUUAUUCUCUAAGCUUCAGGCAUAUUGCCCAGAUAUAUCUGCCCCCACACAGAACUUUUGAUCAUUUUAUCAGAGCAUUAAGCCACUGGGCACACCACGAGCCCCAAGGAAACUGUGGGUUCCAGAGAAUCUGUUGAAAAUCUUUGCAUAUUUACACAAUCACAUGCACCCUGACCGGAAUAAUUUGGUCCAGAAAGGCGUCUGCUAAACAGAGCAUCUAAAGGAUCUAGUAUGAAAGAUUUUCUUUUUUUUUGCUGACACUGCCAUUCGGUACAGUGACAGCAUGUUAUACUGAUGCUCUGAAGCCCCAUUUCAGGUUCUUUUCUCCAGAAAGUUUUAAACGUGGAUACUUUUACAGUUGAUAUCUUGAAACUGGAAACUUGCAGAGUAUGCUACAUAGCUACCAUGUUACCAUGGACUUGCAAAAGGUGAAGCAUAUUCCAAGUGCACAGCACACCAGAGAGCCUCUUCAAAUCUCAGCAAAUGAAGCGGCCAGAGCUCUCAUUUUAAAAGGUCGGAGAGAUUGAUAAAAGGAGGCUCUGUCAAAAGGAGUAAGUGGUCUUCUGCUGUUCUGACUAGCAGCAGGAAUCCAUUAGGAAGAGCCUGAGUGUAAUUAAAAUGGAGACAUUAAAAGAAAUACAACAGUAGAAGCAUUUAGAAAAAUUAGGAAGUGCAGAAAUAGGUAGCCUGUAACAUAAUCAAAGGAGUAUAUUAGGUGGUUUUAGUAGUUUCUUGUGCAAUAUAGAUUAGAAAUGAUUGUAAACCAUGUAGGAAAGAGUGAGUUAUAUAAAUAGGUACUUCUCUCAUACCUUUUCUUAGUUUGUCAGCAGAAAAAUUAAGGUAUCAGUGCAAAAUGCAUCAGUAUCAAUGGCAUAAGUAAAACCAAAUUUACUGAAUAUAAGAAAUCUAAAGAAAAUUUCAGACAAAUGCUAGAAAAUCUGGAACACAGGUGUCAUGGUUUAGCAUAUUUGGGUUUUUAGUAAAGAGGCUCCAUCAGCCACGGAAGUGAUUCUCUUGCAAA
Corvus hawaiiensis (hawaiian crow) is the source of this 8624-nucleotide long non-coding RNA. RefSeq lists it as uncharacterized. The record is from RefSeq and is a predicted model, not a curated record. The transcript has 3 exons. Lineage: Eukaryota; Metazoa; Chordata; Aves; Passeriformes; Corvidae.